CCGACUCAACGCAGAGUCUCGCACCGCUCCACAGAGAUUAACAGAGUUGGAAGGGACCUUAUAGGUCAUCUAGUCCAACCCCCCGCUCAAGCAGAAGAUCCUACACCAUUUCUGACAAGUGGCAGUCCAGUCUUUUCUUGAAAGUCUCAAGUGAUGAAGCUCCCACGACUUCCGAAGGCAAUUUCUGUUCCAUUGGUGCAAAAACAAAUUCCUUCGAUUUUGAAGUACCUAAUUUUCUUUGAUAAAUAUUUUAGCAUGAUUCUGAAUAUUAUCUAAAAAGUCUGUUAGUUUGAAUGAGUCAGUUUGAAACCACUGGAUGUAAUUGUGGCUCCAAAUGGGACUACCUCAUCCAUGUACAUAUUUAUUUGAAAAUGGAUAGCCAUCUAUCAAAUAAAGCUACAUUUUCUCUUGCUGAA
Molecule: non-coding RNA, 416 nt
Organism: Pantherophis guttatus
Lineage: Eukaryota; Metazoa; Chordata; Lepidosauria; Squamata; Colubridae
Source: RefSeq, a predicted model, not a curated record